GGGGUGGUGGCGCAGUUGGCUUUCGCGUCAGUCUCAUAGCUUCUGAGUUAUCCUGAGGUUGAGGGUUUGAGUCUCUCUCACCCCA
Non-coding RNA from Citrus sinensis (sweet orange), 85 nucleotides. The record is from Rfam. NCBI's taxonomy places the organism in Eukaryota, Viridiplantae, Streptophyta, Magnoliopsida, Sapindales, Rutaceae.